GCCCUAAAAAAGACAAAAAGACAAAAAAAAAAAAGUUUCUGAGUACCUGUUAUGUCCCAGACACUGUGCUGGGUGCUUUUACAUAAAUCAUCUUAUAUAAUACAGUGGUUCUAUGGGGGGGGUCAUUAAAAUAAUAUUACCUACCCCCAUUUAAUUGUUGAGCAUGGAAAUCAGUCCCCAAAUAUUAAUCUUUUUCCCAUUUUAAAGUUGAGGAAACGGAGAGUGGACAGUUUGAGUGAUUGUGCAAAAGCUGUAAAAGUUGUGCUUGAAGUUGUAAAACUAGGGAUCCGAUCAAGUUCGUGUUUGUGUGGCUCCCAUACUCAUGCUCGCAUCCCUCCAUCAUGUUUCCACUCCAAUAUCUGGUCUUUUAUAUUCCAGGUCUAGGCUCCAUCAUUACAAAUUAGUGAUGUCUGAGACUUUUUCCACAGUGACCUGAAUAAUGAAAUUGAUGUAUUCUUCCUAAGGAGCCCGCUAACCAAUGCAGCAUCCCACCCCCUCAGCAAGGCUACCGGCCUAUGAGAAGAGACAUCCCCUUUCUCUAUCAGGGAACGUCCUAGCUGAUUCAAUCUCAUCCAAAACUCAGGGGACUUGUCUGACACCAGCCAGUAUGAGGUGGAGAUGCCGUCAACUUUCUGUCCAUUCAGGCUGCUACACCCACCCAUGUCUCUUUCUCCACUGAGGAAAUCCUGUGAGUGCUACUUGGGAGGAGUAAGGUACCCCUCAGGCCUGUCUCCCAAGAAAGCUGUUUUAAGGUGAGAACAGCAGAAAUCUGCCUUUGCAUUGGCUAGUCAUCCUUCACACCUUUAGAAACAACUGGCACCCCUGAUCAUUUCCCCGAUUCCCUGAUUUUGCUCUGAAAACUUCAGAGGCCAAGCCAUUAGCACGGUGGGGGAGGUGAGCCCCAGCAUGCGUCAUACAAGCUCUUCCACCAUCCCCUGCCUCUGUUAAAUACAUGUUUCAUCACUUACCCUGAUCAAGAGGUACACUCGCUCUUGGAAAACACUUCUUAGAAGCCAGCAUAUUAGGAGGGUUGAGGGUGAUAUUCUUAAGGACCACUUGCAUGCUGAAGGAAAGGGACUCAAAUUCCACCCCACCCCCCUUGCCUUUUGUGGCCAUCAGCGCUCUAAAGUCUCAACCCUCUAUCCACCUGAAAGUGCUUGCAGUGUUCGGUACCAGAACAGUCAAGACCGCAUCUGCUCUCUGCACACCUCUGUUAUCAAGGAGCAAGCUCUUUCAAAGGCUCUCCUCCCUAACCUAGGCCAGUCUAACUGCUUGGAGAAUCUGAUAAUAGGCUUUCCCAUGCCUUGCCAGAUAAAAGGCAUAUGUGGGAGAAUGGGGAUCUAGAGAGUCACCCAGGAAUAUCUCAAGUGGGUUUCAUGGUGAGGAUCUAAGCAAAGACAAGGAAGCCAGGGCAAGCACAUGACAGCAGGCUGCGGCUGAAGCAGUAGGGUGCGGUGGGGCUCAGGAAGCCAGCAUGGUUUAGUGUAGCAGAGGCUAAGUAGAAAAGGGUCAGAGUUUUGCACCAUGGGGAGAAAAGAACAAUGUGAAGGGGUGCUUCAAGAUACCUGCCUGAGGGUGGCCUUAAUCUCGGGGUGGACAGUUGUCUACCCCACCUGAAAUCAGUAGGCACAAAUUCAUGGGAGAGGGGUGGUUCCCAGUAGGUCUGAAUUGGCUGAACGUUUUAGCCUUUCACUAUUCAAACACCUUGCAAUUAGCUGUUGGUCUACUAGACUUGGAUGGCUAUAUCUAAUAGGGCAACAGUUAAAAAAAAAAAAAAGCCUUGCAUCUCUUUAAUUCCUAGUCCAAUAGAUAUAGGCUGUGGAACAGAGGAAGACUAGACUAACCUAUCUGCUGAUCAGCCAGUUUUUUUGUACUUACUGGCCACACUAUGAGUCAAAUAAUGAACUGGAUCUGAAUCUUUUCAUGAGAAGAGAUCUUCAGCUCACAUGUGAAACCCUGGCAUCUUCCAUCAGUUCCAGCUUACUCCUAAAAGUAAAAAUAAAAGGGGGGAGGGAGAGAAAGUACACUUUCUAGGUAUGGUGGGCUUUCCCAGAACUACACUGUUUGUAGUGACUGUGAGAAAGAGCAUUCUGACUUCCACACAGUCUGAUCUGUUAGAUUCUGGGGGGUCUGUUUUGUCUUGCAGCGGGCGAAAUGAGCACGGUGAGGCUGGACUAACAUCUGUGGCAGGGCUGGGAUCCCGAAAGGGCAAUUCAGGUCAAAAGGAACCAACAGACAGCAUAUCUUACAGCCUCACGGGGUGGAUCUGUCUCCCAAGCACUGGUUUCUGAGGUCAUCACCAGUCAUCCUAGACGGCGCUGGCAAAUGUCACUUACCUCACCAUCCAGGAACCUGUGGCUCAGAACCCAUGAAGAAAAGCCUUCAAUCUCAAAUGAAAAUGUCUGGAGUGAAGCCAUCGCAAUGAGGAUGAUGCAUAGCUCAAGAGGAACCCAGAAUAAGAUGCAGAUUUGCCAUGCAGGAAGCUAAGAACAUAUGAAUGCUCCUCUCCCUCUUUCUGCUGGAAUGAUAUCGAGGGUAACAACAGCUGGUAUUUAUUGAGUAUGGCUAACCUCAGGUACUGUGCUAAGAGGUAUGUAUCCAUUUUCCAAGUCAAUCCUUACAGCAACCAGUGAAACAGUUCCUUUACAAUUUCCAUUUUAAAAUGGGGAAACUGGAGCUUGGAGAGGCUGAACAACCUGCCUUGAGCCCAAGAGCUAUUAAGUGUAUUAGCCGUACUCUGCAAUACAAAGCAACCCCUCUUUGAGCCUUAGCUGGAUGCUCUAGAACAGACAACAGUGGAGUUCCCUUCAGCAUUGGGGGACAUGUCCAAGGGCAAGGGGUAUCUGGACAGUGGGAUACGCUUUGUUGAGUCCCAGUCAGGCCCAGUGGAAGCAUCUGAUGUUCCCUCUCAUUCCACCAUCUCAUUUCCAUAGGGUAAGUGUGACCCGUCUCGGGAAGAAGAAAUUACCACCAGGAUGAAGCUCUUUACUUCCUUUUCAAUCUCUAAGAUAAUCCCUCUGACACCUGGCCAAGCCCCAAAGAACGAAAGGGAGGGACUCAUUACAUCUUGGGAAAUUUCACCGGACUUUUAGAGUUUGGGGAUGAGCUGGAAGACUGACAGCUGGGGAUCUCAUUCAGGAAUAGAAUUCUUUAGGCCCUAUGUCAGGAAAAAAAAGACUCGUUGGGAACUGCCAUUAAUCUGGGGGUGGUACUGGGGACAGGUAAUGGAUUUUAUCAGCAACUCUCAAGCCCUGACUCCAUCUACCCUGACUUGUAACUUUGCUGGGCUCUGUUUACCCAAUUCUGGUUAAGGAUCCCUGCUGGCGCCUUUGAUAUAGCGGCGUGGACCAGGCAGGGAAAGCAGAGGCUGGUGUAGCAACAUCUUAGGAGGCACGUCUUCUUGACCAUAGAGGACAAAGGCCCUGCCUUGCAUCACCCCAUGAACUUGACUGGUCCUGCUGUCCUCCACUCCUUGAGGCAACAAAGGGAAGCUGUCCAAUAAGAAGGGUUGGCAGGACCCCCAGAGCACAGAAUUCCAGUGGGAGCCCAGUGAGACACAAAGCAAGUCAAUGCUCUCUGCUUUUAGCGGUGUGGUCCUGCUGAAGGGUGGAACACAGUGCAGAUAUCGAUCUAUUGAUAUUUGCAAAGCCAGGAAUUAAUUUUAAUAAAACAGGGUCACACUUGCUGCUGCAUGGAGAACCGACUGACAAGAUCAAGGCGGAAGCACUGGGACAGGUCAGGAGGCUAUCAUGGCAGUCAAGCAAGAGAUGGCUUGCGCGAGGCUGACAUCAGAGGAAGAGGCGAUUGGAUCGUCAGUAUCCACUGGGAAAGUUGCUGCCUCUCCAUAUCCAUAACACAACGUAAAACGUGAGGUGCCAAGAUAGAGUACACUGUGUUGUGGGAGCUCAGAUGAAAAUUACAUCUGGCUGUGGGAUGAGCUGGCACUUGAGCUGUGUCUUCAAGGAUGAGUGGGUAGAAAUGGCGAGGGAGGAGAGGACGUUCCAAAGAAAGAAAAACAUACGAGGGAAAGCACAAAAAAGGGAAAGAGAAGGCAUGUUUGGGGCCCAGGAGUAAUUCUGUGGAUUACAGGGAGCCUGACAAGGUGGACUAGGAGGUCAGAUUGGUCUGGUGGAUUUGGGAUACAUCACAGAGGGCCUGGCGUGCCAGGACAGAGUUCGGGCCAUGGAGAGCCACAGCAGGUUCUUAAGGAGGAUUUUGUGUGAGCAGAGCUGAGCUCUAGAGAGCACUGGGAAACUAGAGGCUGCAGGGGAACCUGGAAGCAUCUGCUUUGGGUCUCUGUAUAUCCAUUCAUUAAGGAGAUCUUUGACUUUCUUCAAUCCUAAAUCUUUUGUUCCAGCCAGACCAGCCUUCUCCCUAAGCAGGGGGCUGUGCACAAUCAUCCCUUCCUCCCUGCUUUUAUUUUUCUGGUUCUCAGCACCUAGGACACUUUCCCCAGCUCCAUUUAUUCAAAGCCUCCCCAUUCUUCUCUGACUCCUUGGCCUCUAUUGCUCUCUUCCUUCUAUCAAAGCACUUGUCUACACCACCCAUGUUGGCUCUUAAUCUCGAACUCCCAUUUUCCUAAGUAUGUAUUUCAAGAACAUAGGACUUUCCCUGGGAGAUAUAAGCUCCUUUUGGUCAAGGACAUUACUGGGCAUUCCCUUUGUUUUCUCCAUAGUGUCUGGCACUCAGUAGCCACUGAAUUAUACUGACCACCCUCAGACCUAAUAGUGAGUGUUGAAAGCCAGGCUGCCUCUUUAAGAGUCAAGAGUAGAAAGGCAAUUGUCCAGAUACACUGACAUCUAGACAUACAGGGAACCCAUCUCCUUGCCACUAUCUGUCUUCCAUUCCCUGGCUAUCCCCUAAACACACUAAGAACUGGACACACUUAGGUUUCGCCUUCCCUGAGAGAACUGAUAAUUCCUGGGAAAUUCUCUCUCCUCCAGAGAAUAUAAUCCACAUUCAAGAGACUAUACCAAGCCCAUAGAGAGACAGGAAAGAGGGCCUGGGUCAGAUGUGGUGUGCUCCCCUCUCCUCCUAGCACUUCUGCCCCUCCUCCAGCUCCUGGCACCUUCCCUGCAUCCUGCUCCUAGGCUCUGUGCCACAUCAUACGUGCUUUUCCCAGAGAUGGUUUACCUACUUUAGGGGCUAAGGCCCUGGAGCCACACCCCCAUCCCAUUUCACCCGCCAUUGGAAACAGCAAGCAGUGAGACACAAGUUUCAAGGCAGCAACAGGGCUAGGUGGAUUCUCUCUCAACACCUGCCACCUUGCAGGAACAUGGGUCACUUAAGGACACAAUGCAAAGGCACAGAUGAUGGGUUUCUUUCUCUGUUGCUGUGGACGCUCAGUUGGGUGCUUGGCCUGUCCUUUGGCCUCCAAGGCUGACUGGUUCUUUCCAAAUGCUCCCCCUGCCAUUUCUUGGCGAGGUUUGGAGGCCGGGGGAGUCAGCGAGGUCACCCACCCAGGAAAGACAAAGGCGUCAGAUUUCUUGCCCAUGGGUUCAACUGGAUGCUGGCCCAGGAUCCAGUAAGCCAGGGCCCCUGACCCAACUGAGCUCAGAGACUAGUAGUGGAGACCAACCCAGGUGGCUAUGCCAUGGCUUCGGCGCAGUAACGGGGGCUACAGAGGGCUGUGGGCACCCCCCCCUUCAUUUCAAAACCUUUUCUUCCCACCUCCCUCCCAAUCCAAGCUUAGGUUUAAAUCGCUUGUGGAAAAGUUCCCCUACUCUUCCUCCGUCUUCCAUUUCUGAAACUCAGGGGGUUGGGGGUAGGGAAGAGCGACCUCCUUUCACCGAGUCCCAUUCCCCCACCCCCAAAUCUGGGUAAGCUUGGCGCUCUGCAACCCUGACCUCCAACUCCAGGACAGAGAGGGGGCCUGCGGUGGUGGGGGGUGCGGGGGCAGGAGGGUCUUAAGGCCUGGGGCGGAGGCGCGGCUGCAGGAGGUAAACUUCCCUGCAACCUGCCCAGGACCGAC
This is a non-coding RNA of Sus scrofa (pig), 5971 nucleotides long. NCBI's taxonomy places the organism in Eukaryota, Metazoa, Chordata, Mammalia, Artiodactyla, Suidae. The record is from RefSeq and is a predicted model, not a curated record.